GACGAACGCUGGCGGCGUGCUUAACACAUGCAAGUCGAACGGAAAGGCCCUGCUCGCAGGGCACUCGAGUGGCGAACGGGUGAGUAACACGUGGGUGAUCUGCCUUGCUCUUCGGGUUAAGUUUGGGAAACUGGGCCUAAUACCGGACAGGAACUAUCUUUAGCGUGGUGGUUGGAAAGUUUUUUCGGUGUAGGAUGACCUCGCGGCCUAUCAGCUUGUUGGUGGGGUAAUGGCCUACCAAGGCGGCGACGGGUAGCCGGCCUGAGAGGAUGUACGGACAGAUUAGGACUGUGAUACAGGCAGGAGUCGUGCAGGAGGCAGCAGUGGGGAAUAUUGCACAAUGGGCGGAAGCGUGAUGGAGGGACGCCGCGUGAGGGAUGAACGCCUUCAGGUUGUAAGCACCUUUCGCUAGAGACGAAGGUUUGUUGUGACGGUACCUAGAUAAGAAGCACCGGCUAACUACGUG
This 466-nucleotide ribosomal RNA is filed under the name uncultured bacterium. Its description in RNAcentral is "partial 16S ribosomal RNA". It matches the Rfam family "Bacterial small subunit ribosomal RNA", at positions 28 to 507 of the family's 1533-position model. The record is from RNAcentral.